GGUCAAGUAAUGAAGUGCACAUGGUGGAUGCCUUGGCAGUCAGAGGCGAAGAAAGACGUGAUAGCCUGCGAUAAGCGUCGGUGAGGUGGCAAUAUCCUGUGACCCGGCGAUUUCUGAAUGGGGAAACCCAACCAACAUAAGUUGGUUAUUACACAGUUUACUGUGUAAGGCAAACCGGGAGAAGUGAAACAUCUCAGUACCCCGAGGAAAAGACAUCAAAUGAGAUUCCGUAAGUAGCGGCGAGCGAACACGGAGGAGCCGAUCAAUUUUACAGUAGCAAAAUGGCGUGGGAAAGCCAACCAUAGUAGGUGAUAGUCCUGUAUGCGAAACUGUUUAAGCGACAUAUUAAGUAGGGCGGAACACGAGAAAUUCUGUCUGAAGAUGGGGGGACCAUCCUCCAAGGCUAAAUACUCCUGACUGACCGAUAGUGAACCAGUACCGUGAGGGAAAGGCGAAAAGAACCCCUGUUAGGGGAGUGAAAUAGAACCUGAAACCGUGUGCAUACAAGCAGUCGGAGCGGACUUGUUCCGUGACGGCGUACCUUUUGUAUAAUGGGUCAGCGACUUAUAUUCUGUAGCAAGGUUAACCGAAUAGGGGAGCCGUAGGGAAACCGAGUCUUAAUAGGGCGAAUGAGUUGCAGGGUAUAGACCCGAAACCGAGUGAUCUAUCCAUGAGCAGGUUGAAAGUGCCGUAACAGGCACCGGAGGACCGAACCCACUGUCGUUGAAAAGCCAGGGGAUGACUUGUGGAUAGGGGUGAAAGGCUAAUCAAACUCGGUGAUAGCUGGUUCUCCCCGAAAGCUAUUUAGGUAGCGCCUCGGACGAACACCAUUGGGGGUAGAGCACUGUUUCGGCUAGGGGGUCACACCGACUUACCAAACCGAUGCAAACUCCGAAUACCGAUGAGUGAUAUCCGGGAGACAGACGGCGGGUGCUAACGUCCGUCGUCAAGAGGGAAACAACCCAGACCGCCAGCUAAGGCCCCAAAUUCCUAGUUAAGUGGGAAACGAUGUGGGAAGGCACAGACAGCUAGGAGGUUGGCUUAGAAGCAGCCACCCUUUAAAGAAAGCGUAAUAGCUCACUAGUCGAGUCGGCCUGCGCGGAAGAUGUAACGGGGCUCAAACUAGGAGCCGAAGCUGCGGAUUUAAUUGUUUCAAUUAAGUGGUAGGGGAGCGUUGUGUAAGCCUGUGAAGGUGCACUGUAAGGUGUGCUGGAGGUAUCACAAGAGCGAAUGCUGACGUGAGUAACGACAAAACGGGUGAAAAGCCCGUUCGCCGGAAGACCAAGGGUUCCAGUCCAACGUUAAUCGGGGCUGGGUGAGUCGACCCCUAAGGCGAGGCCGAAAGGCGUAGUCGAUGGGAAAUCGGUUAAUAUUCCGAUACUUGUUUAUGAUGCGAUGGAGGGACGGAGAAGGUUAUGCCAGCCUGGCGAUGGUUGUCCAGGUGGAAGGAUGUAGUUAGACUGAGUAGGCAAAUCCGCUCGGUUAUUAAUGAGAUCUGAUAGCAAGCCAGUUUACUGGCAAAGUGGCAAAUACCCUGCUUCCAGGAAAAGCUUCUAAGCGAUAGUCAUAAACGAAUCGUACCCGAAACCGACACAGGUGGUCAGGUAGAGAAUACCAAGGCGCUUGAGAGAACUCUGCUGAAGGAACUAGGCAAAAUGGUACCGUAACUUCGGGAGAAGGUACGCUGCCGAUGGUGAUAAGACUUGCUCUUUGAGCUGUUGGCAGUCGCAGAUACCAGGCUGCUGCAACUGUUUAUUAAAAACACAGCACUCUGCAAACACGAAAGUGGACGUAUAGGGUGUGAUGCCUGCCCGGUGCUGGAAGGUUAAUUGAUGGGGUUAGCGUAAGCGAAGCUCUUGAUCGAAGCCCCAGUAAACGGCGGCCGUAACUAUAACGGUCCUAAGGUAGCGAAAUUCCUUGUCGGGUAAGUUCCGACCUGCACGAAUGGCAUAAUGAUGGCAGCGCUGUCUCCAGCAGAGACUCAGUGAAAUCGAAAUCGCAGUGAAGAUGCUGUGUACCCGCGGCUAGACGGAAAGACCCCGUGAACCUUUACUACAGCUUUACAUUGAACUUUGACCUAACUUGUGUAGGAUAGGUGGGAGGCUUUGAAGCAGAUACGCCAGUAUUUGUGGAGCCAACCUUGAAAUACCACCCUGGUUAUGUUGGGGUUCUAACUUAGGAUUAACAAAUCCAAGGACAAUGUAUGGUGGGUAGUUUGACUGGGGCGGUCUCCUCCUAAAGAGUAACGGAGGAGUACGAAGGUGCGCUCAGAACGGUCGGAAAUCGUUCAAAGAGUAUAAAGGCAAAAGCGCGCUUAACUGCGAGACCCACAAGUCGAGCAGGUACGAAAGUAGGUCUUAGUGAUCCGGUGGUUCUGUAUGGAAGGGCCAUCGCUCAACGGAUAAAAGGUACUCUGGGGAUAACAGGCUGAUACCGCCCAAGAGUUCAUAUCGACGGCGGUGUUUGGCACCUCGAUGUCGGCUCAUCUCAUCCUGGGGCUGAAGCAGGUCCCAAGGGUAUGGCUGUUCGCCAUUUAAAGAGGUACGCGAGCUGGGUUUAGAACGUCGUGAGACAGUUCGGUCCCUAUCUACCGUGGGCGUUGGAAAUUUGAGAGGAUCUGCUCCUAGUACGAGAGGACCAGAGUGGACGAACCUCUGGUGUUUCGGUUGUCACGCCAGUGGCAUUGCCGAGUAGCUACGUUCGGAUGGGAUAACCGCUGAAAGCAUCUAAGCGGGAAGCCCACCUCAAGAUAAGAUUUCCCUAAAGAGCCGUUGUAGACUACGACGUUGAUAGGUUGGGUGUGGAAGUGUAGUGAUACAUGUAGCUAACCAAUACUAAUUGCUCGUUUGGCUUGACCAU
RNAcentral lists this ribosomal RNA (2859 nucleotides) under Moraxella catarrhalis. Its description in RNAcentral is "bacterial LSU rRNA". It matches the Rfam family "Bacterial large subunit ribosomal RNA". Lineage: Bacteria; Pseudomonadati; Pseudomonadota; Gammaproteobacteria; Moraxellales; Moraxellaceae. The record is from RNAcentral.